UAGGGAAUCUUCCGCAAUGGACGAAAGUCUGACGGAGCAACGCCGCGUGAACGAAGAAGGCCUUCGGGUCGUAAAGUUCUGUUGUUAGGGAAGAACAAGUACCAGAGUAACUGCUGGUACCUUGACGGUACCUAACCAGAAAGCCACGGCUAACUACGUGCCAGCAGCCGCGGUAAU
Molecule: ribosomal RNA, 177 nt
Filed under: uncultured soil bacterium
Lineage: Bacteria
Description: partial 16S ribosomal RNA
Rfam family: Bacterial small subunit ribosomal RNA
Source: RNAcentral